AAUUAUGUGUAUGUUUCCUUUAUGUUUCAAUUUAUAGUUUUGAAGUUUCGUGCCUGAAAAAUUCUUUCCGUUGUACAAUCUGAAGGGGAUUUUUGUUGUAUUUCAACUUCACUUUUCACUAUAUAUUGCAAUGAUUACAUACUUUGUUGUGACUAUAGUUUUGGAGGCUACUGCUAAAACAAAUGCUAAUAGGGAACAAGUGGGAGGUAAAAUGAAGAAAAACCCGAGCAUUACUUCUAUAUUUGAAGAAACUAACAACAUAGCUAAAUAAUAGUAGUUCAACUUAACAACAUGAUUAUGUGACAAAAAAUCUCUUACCUCUCUAAAAUUUGGUCUUGGUAUAAUGCAAGGAACUCAGAUUUGUCACAUUAUUAUGUAAGUUAGAUUUUGGUUGAGGACUUCACCACACUUGGCCUUAUCCAUUAACAUGGACCAUGAAGAUUGCCACCUUAUAUUAAUAUUAUAAAGGCUGGUUAUAACAUAGAUGAGUACUGCACCUCCAAAUGAUCAAUGAUUUCAGCAACUACGCUUGUGAAAACUUCUGUAUUGAUAAUUAUUUACAUUCUUACUGAGGCCUACAGAUGCAUGUGAGAAAAGAAGUCUGAUCACAAUGAUCCGAUUACAACAUGUCAGCUUAAAAGUUUAAAAAUUAAGAUUUAGGAUGGAAGUUGCAAAUUGAGUACUUUUGCCUAUGUAGCAGUAUCAAAUAGCAUGUGAACCAAAUCUUAAAAGAUAUUCACGUGCGAUUAGUUCUGACCACAACUUUCUGUUAUCUCUUCUUGUUUCAUUGUUUCUUUUUUCCUUUUUUCCAUUUUUACAUGAGGGUAGGGGGUCUGGAUUGGACUAUACGCAUUUUGUGAGGAUUUCCUAAUAUUUCAUUGGUAAGAAGGUGAGAACUUAUCUUUAUCUUUAUUUUGCCAGCUCGAGUUCACCAUCUAAUAUAGCAAUUAGCAAGUCCUACUUUGUAUUGAAGCUUGAACAUUAAUUAUUUUUUCAUGUCGUGAUACGUGAAAGCUAGAAGAGAAUAAGGUUCAUUAUGCUGCAGAUGAGUAGGCCAGAUUACAACGAUGGAGUUUGGUCUACACGCUGUUCUUGUUCGGGAUUUGAUUAAAAAAAGAUAUGGCUGAAGAAGGACAUGUUCGAAUUACUCCUAGUGGGAGUUCUCGAAGUCAAGGAAGAGGACAACAUAGAAGGGUACGUCGCCGCAGGACUUAUUUCUAUAAUGAUUCAGACUCGCAGCCUGAAGUCAUCAGGAAUGUCCCAAGGGCGAGACAAAAUAAGUUAAGGGAUCGAAGGGCUGAACGAAGGGAAAGAGAAAAGAAAUUUAGGGAGUUUAAGAAAUUUAAAAUGGGCCCUGAUAUUUCCGUUCCUGAACAUGUACACCUCUUUAAGAUAAAAAGAGUUGAAUUGGCUAAUUACAUAGAAAUUACUGAUUGGGAAGCAUUAGCUAUUUUAGCGGACUCUCUUCGAGAGCCUUGGGGUGAAAUUUUAACUGAGAUUUAUCAUGAUGUUUGGCCUAGUGCACGUUUUAGUGUAUAUGAGCAAGAGUUAUUAUGUGUUUUAUUUUAAUGAAA
This is a long non-coding RNA of Nicotiana attenuata, 1574 nucleotides long. RefSeq lists it as uncharacterized. The record is from RefSeq and is a predicted model, not a curated record. The transcript has 2 exons. Lineage: Eukaryota; Viridiplantae; Streptophyta; Magnoliopsida; Solanales; Solanaceae.